This 253-nucleotide ribosomal RNA is filed under the name uncultured bacterium. RNAcentral's name for it is "partial 16S ribosomal RNA". It matches the Rfam family "Bacterial small subunit ribosomal RNA", at positions 524 to 776 of the family's 1533-position model. The record is from RNAcentral.
UACGAGGGGGGCAAAUGUUGUUCGGAAUCACUGGGCGUAAAGGGCGCGUAGGCGGGCUCUUAAGUUAGGUGUUUAAUCCCGGGGCCCAACCCCGGACAGGCACCUAAAACUGGGAGUCUUGAAUAGUGGAGAGGACGGCGGAAUUGGGGGUGUAGCGGUGGAAUGCGUAGAGAUCCCCAAGAACACCAGUUGCGAAGGCGGCCGUCUGGACACAUAUUGACGCUGAGGCUCGAAAGCAUGGGGAGCAAACAGG